Long non-coding RNA from Syngnathoides biaculeatus (alligator pipefish), 370 nucleotides. RefSeq lists it as uncharacterized. NCBI's taxonomy places the organism in Eukaryota, Metazoa, Chordata, Actinopteri, Syngnathiformes, Syngnathidae. The record is from RefSeq and is a predicted model, not a curated record. The transcript is spliced from 3 exons.
GAGAGAGGGAGAGAGAUGUUUCCUGUUGGCUCUCGCCACAUGUUUAGACGCCUUGUUUCGCAGUCUGAUGGCCCUUUUACGUUCUCGGGUCACUCAAUAGCUCAACCCACCAAUCUUUCACAAGCUCUGUGGUGUGUACGUGGCCAUUUUCUCAACGCGGGAAAGAUUAAGAAGGAAGUAGCUGCAGAUAAAGAAAGAGCACACUCUGCAUCAUUACUCCCCUUCAGGAAAGGAAGAUAAUAAUCAGUUUCAUGUAUGUGGGUACCUUACAGCUCAACCACAUGGGCCAAGUAGUCCCACACCUUGCACUAACCCCCUCAUCCACCUCAAACACGCGUACGCCACAUCAGGAUACAGUGCUGCACAUGAA